GGAGGGGUGGCAGAGUGGUCUAAUGCACUUGUCUUGAAAACAAGAGUGCUGCAAGGCACCGUGAGUUCGAAUCUCACCCCCUCCGCCG
RNAcentral lists this transfer RNA (88 nucleotides) under Candidatus Kaiserbacteria bacterium RIFCSPLOWO2_01_FULL_54_24. RNAcentral's name for it is "tRNA-Ser". It matches the Rfam family "tRNA". Rfam says of the family: Transfer RNA (tRNA) molecules are approximately 80 nucleotides in length. Their secondary structure includes four short double-helical elements and three loops (D, anti-codon, and T loops). Further hydrogen bonds mediate the characteristic L-shaped molecular structure. tRNAs have two regions of fundamental functional importance: the anti-codon, which is responsible for specific mRNA codon recognition, and the 3' end, to which the tRNAs corresponding amino acid is attached (by aminoacyl-tRNA synthetases). tRNAs cope with the degeneracy of the genetic code in two manners: having more than one tRNA (with a specific anti-codon) for a particular amino acid; and 'wobble' base-pairing, i.e. permitting non-standard base-pairing at the 3rd anti-codon position. Lineage: Bacteria; Candidatus Kaiseribacteriota. The record is from RNAcentral.